This 189-nucleotide ribosomal RNA is filed under the name uncultured bacterium. Its description in RNAcentral is "partial 16S ribosomal RNA". It matches the Rfam family "Bacterial small subunit ribosomal RNA", at positions 1312 to 1500 of the family's 1533-position model. The record is from RNAcentral.
UCGACUGCAUGAAGUCGGAAUCGCUAGUAAUCGCGGAUCAGCAUGCCGCGGUGAAUACGUUCCCGGGUCUUGUACACACCGCCCGUCAAACAAUGGGAGUGGUGUUUACCAGAAGUCGUUAGCCUAACCGCAAGGAGGGCGGCGACCACGGUGAGCACCGUGACUAAUGUUAAGUCGUAACAAGGUAAC